AGACAAAUAAUAAGGCCAAAGAGACUAAUAGAAGAAAUGUAAAGAGGUGAAUUUAAGAGGUCAUGUUACAAAUUGUUGAUAAGAGAAAAUAUAUGGUGUAAAAUUGUUGUAAACAAAACUAGUUGUUGUAUAAAGUUAAGAAAUUUACAGGUAAAUUUGAAAAAAAGGGAGAUGUAUUGAGAUGUGUAUAUUGCAUAAGUUGGCCACUAGAGGGCAGUGUUGUACUACCAAUACAGUUAAGUUAUGACUGUGUGUAACACCGGAAGCAGUGAAUAAACGGGGUUCCGAACGUGACACUCGGUGUGUAAGUCUCAUCAAUACAACCACCAGACAAAAGCUUUUCAGGACACAAUAGCCCCUGGCAGUGAAGCUGGUGGACUGGCACAUGGCGUACUCGACACCAAGGAGCUCCUCGAAGUCUCGUCGGAGUGCUCAUAUGCUUCGGGGAUCGGCAUUGGUGCAGGAAAGUUGGGCUCCAGGACGUGCUCCUUGCCGAAGAGAACCUCGGCCUGCUGGUUGAUGCCAGCCAUGACCACCAGCGACACGGAGCGAUGCCAUGCGGUGGUUCCACUGCACGGCAAAGGACACCAAGUAUACCUGAAACAAAUUUCCAUUUUGACUGUUAUUGUGUACAAUGUUUACAAGUGAUGACUGGAGCUGUGAAAUAAAAUGUAUCAUUGAAACUAUAA
Misgurnus anguillicaudatus (oriental weatherfish) is the source of this 689-nucleotide non-coding RNA. Lineage: Eukaryota; Metazoa; Chordata; Actinopteri; Cypriniformes; Cobitidae. The record is from RefSeq and is a predicted model, not a curated record.